ACUCCUACGGGAGGCAGCAGUGAGGAAUAUUGGACAAUGGGCGGGAGCCUGAUCCAGCCAUGCCGCGUGCAGGAAGACUGCCUAUGGAUUGUAAACUGCUUUUGUACAGGAAGAAACACUCCCUCGUGAGGGAGCUUGACGGUACUGUAAGAAUAAGGAUCGGCUAACUCCGUGCCAGCAGCCGCGGUAAUACGGAGGAUCCAAGCGUUAUCCGGAAUCAUUGGGUUUAAAGGGUCCGUAGGUGGAUGAUUAAGUCAGAGGUGAAAUCCUGCAGCUCAACUGUAGAAUUGCCUUUGAUACUGGUUGUCUUGAAUUAUUGUGAAGUAGUUAGAAUAUGUGGUGUAGCGGUGAAAAUGCAUAGAUAUCACAUAGAAUACCGAUUGCGAAGGCAGAUUACUAACAAUACAUUGACACUGAUGGACGAAAGCGUGGGGAGCGAACAGGAUUAGAUACCCUGGUAGCUACGAGU
RNAcentral lists this ribosomal RNA (469 nucleotides) under uncultured bacterium. RNAcentral's name for it is "bacterial SSU rRNA". It matches the Rfam family "Bacterial small subunit ribosomal RNA", at positions 335 to 802 of the family's 1533-position model. The record is from RNAcentral.